This 750-nucleotide ribosomal RNA is filed under the name uncultured Lachnospiraceae bacterium. RNAcentral describes it as "bacterial SSU rRNA". It matches the Rfam family "Bacterial small subunit ribosomal RNA", at positions 28 to 776 of the family's 1533-position model. The record is from RNAcentral. Lineage: Bacteria; Bacillati; Bacillota; Clostridia; Lachnospirales; Lachnospiraceae.
GAUGAACGCUGGCGGCGUGCUUAACACAUGCAAGUCGAACGAAGCGUAUUCAAGUGAAGUUUUCGGACAAAGCGAGGAUAUGACUUAGUGGCGGACGGGUGAGUAACGCGUGGGCAACCUGCCUUUCACAGCGGGAUAACAGAGGGAAGCUUCUGCUAAUACCGCAUAUACCUUUAUAACGCAUGUUAGGGAGGGGAAAGAGUUAUCGGUGAGAGAUGGGCCCGCGUCCGAUUAGAUAGUUGGUGGGGUAACAGCCUACCAAGUCAACGAUCGGUAGCCGGCUUGAGAGAGUGAACGGCCACAUUGGGGCUGAGACACGGCCCAAACUCCUACGGGAGGCAGCAGUGGGGGAUAUUGGACAAUGGGGGCAACCCUGAUCCAGCGACGCCGCGUGAGUGAAGAAGUAUUUCGGUACGUAAAGCUCUAUCAGCAGGGAAGAAAGAAGACGGUACCUGACUAAGAAGCCCCGGCUAACUACGUGCCAGCAGCCGCGGUAAUACGUAGGGGGCAAGCGUUAUCCGGAAUUACUGGGUGUAAAGGGAGCGUAGACGGUUAAACAAGUCUGAAGUGAAAUGCCGGGGCUCAACCUCGGAGCUGCUUUGGAAACUGUAGAACUGGAGUGUCGGAGGGGUAAGCGGAAUUCCCAGUGUAGCGGUGAAAUGCGUAGAUAUUGGGAGGAACACCGGCGGCGAAGGCGGCUUACUGGACGACAACUGACGUUGAGGCUCGAAGGCGUGGGUAGCAAACAGG